This is a non-coding RNA of Bombyx mori (domestic silkworm), 145 nucleotides long. The record is from RefSeq and is marked provisional. NCBI's taxonomy places the organism in Eukaryota, Metazoa, Arthropoda, Insecta, Lepidoptera, Bombycidae.
CCAGAAGUCUUCCAUAAUCAUUCUAGUUGCUUCAGGGAAACCUUUGCCUUCAUCUUCUGCAACUUGUUGUAGAGUUCUUACAGCAAGGAACGGAGCCGAAGCAGUUCCAAAUGUUACCCAAAGCAAUCUGAAAUCUUUGACUUUA